GGUAUGCCAUAGUGCUCACUAGCACUUUGCAAUUGCCAAAGCCUAAAAAUAAACAUUAACACUGACUCCAAAUAUGCCUUCCUGAUAUACAUGCCCAUGGAGCUAUUUGGAAGAAAAGGGGAUUGCUAUAAAGAUAUCGGAAGACCGU
Long non-coding RNA from Lutra lutra (Eurasian river otter), 148 nucleotides. RefSeq lists it as uncharacterized. NCBI's taxonomy places the organism in Eukaryota, Metazoa, Chordata, Mammalia, Carnivora, Mustelidae. The transcript has 3 exons. The record is from RefSeq and is a predicted model, not a curated record.